This 427-nucleotide transfer-messenger RNA is filed under the name Patescibacteria group. Its description in RNAcentral is "JAACPJ01 sp009995455 Standard tmRNA". It matches the Rfam family "transfer-messenger RNA". From Rfam's summary of the family: Bacterial tmRNA, also known as 10Sa RNA or SsrA, is named for its dual tRNA and mRNA-like properties. Its role is to liberate the mRNA from a stalled ribosome. To accomplish this part of the tmRNA is used as a reading frame that ends in a translation stop signal. The record is from RNAcentral. RNAcentral also lists the same sequence under 2 other names.
GGGGGUGCACUGGCUUCGACGGAGUGAAUCGAAGCUCUGUACGGGCGUUUUCGGUUGGCACAGCGUACCGGUUAUCCACGAUGUGCAAUUCUAAGUGCAACAGCAUUUACAAGUAAGUUCAACCAACUUCGUCAAACUGCAGCUCGAGCUUUAGCUCCUGCUCCAGUAUUUGCUUAGUUUUUUGGCUUCUAGGAUAAACCCUAGUUGAGCCAACGCUCCUAGGUGAUGUCUCGCUUUACCACGCAGCGUUUCAUCAAACUCAGUGGUGUAGAAUUUAAAAUUUGAUCGACUUUAAAUUUGAAUCUCAGAUCACCUUUUCAAGUCUUUUGUCUGCUUUAAAGCUUGAAUCGUAAACAAACAGACUACAAACGUAGAACGUGCAUUGUUUCCACUGCGGACGCGGGAUCGAUACCCGCCACCUCCACCA